GAGAGCUUGCUCUCUGAUUUUAGCGGCGGACGGGUGAGUAACACGUGGGCAACCUGCCCUACAGAUGGGGAUAACUCCGGGAAACCGGGGCUAAUACCGAAUAAUCAGUUUGUCCGCAUGGACAAACUCUGAAAGACGGUUUCGGCUGUCACUGUAGGAUGGGCCCGCGGCGCAUUAGCUAGUUGGUGGGGUAAUGGCCUACCAAGGCAACGAUGCGUAGCCGACCUGAGAGGGUGAUCGGCCACACUGGGACUGAGACACGGCCCAGACUCCUACGGGAGGCAGCAGUAGGGAAUCUUCCACAAUGGACGAAAGUCUGAUGGAGCAAUGCCGCGUGAGCGAAGAAGGUUUUCGGAUCGUAAAGCUCUGUUGUAAGGGAAGAACACGUACGGGAGUAACUGCCCGUGCCAUGACGGUACCUUAUUAGAAAGCCACGGCUAACUACGUGCCAGCAGCCGCGGUAAUACGUAGGUGGCAAGCGUUGUCCGGAAUUAUUGGGCGUAAAGCGCGCGCAGGCGGUUCUUUAAGUCUGAUGUGAAAGCCCACGGCUCAACCGUGGAGGGUCAUUGGAAACUGGAGAACUUGAGUACAGAAGAGGAAAGCGGAAUUCCACGUGUAGCGGUGAAAUGCGUAGAGAUGUGGAGGAACACCAGUGGCGAAGGCGGC
Molecule: ribosomal RNA, 666 nt
Filed under: Sporosarcina sp.
Lineage: Bacteria; Bacillati; Bacillota; Bacilli; Caryophanales; Caryophanaceae
Description: bacterial SSU rRNA
Rfam family: Bacterial small subunit ribosomal RNA
Source: RNAcentral